UCUUCGAACAUCUUGCACUAAAGCUUCCGAUAUACCAACCAACACACAAGAAUCGGAUAAUACAGCAGCCGGAACGAUAAAAAAGUAAGUUGAAUAUUACGCCUUAUAAACACGGGUGGAAGUGGCACAGGCAAAUGAAACUUUAUGAAAACCAACGAAUCUGGUGGCCGGAACGAUAAAAAGCAAGUUGAAUAUUACGCCUUAUAAACACGGGUGGAAGUGGCACAGGCAAAUGAAACUUUAUGAAAACCAA
Molecule: long non-coding RNA, 253 nt
Filed under: Rhagoletis pomonella (apple maggot)
Lineage: Eukaryota; Metazoa; Arthropoda; Insecta; Diptera; Tephritidae
Description: uncharacterized LOC118734230, transcript variant X1
Source: RNAcentral